AUUUGUCUGGUUAAUUCCGAUAACGAACGAGACCUUAACCUGCUAACUAGAUACUUUUAUUCUAUAAAUGUCAUCUUCUUAGAGGGACUAUGUAAUUAAAAUACAUGGAAGUUUGAGGCAAUAACAGGUCAGUGAUGCCCUUAUAUGUCCUGGGCUGCACGCGUGCUACACUGAUGCAUACAACAAGUGCCCAACCAGACAUGGUACGGCAAUCUCGAAUAUGCAUCGUGAUGGGGAUAGAUCUUUGCAAUUAUAGAUCUUGAACGAGGAAUUCCAAGUAAGUGCAAGUCAUCAUCUUGCAUUGAUUAUGUCCCUGCCCUUUGUACACACCGCCCGUCGCUCCUACCGAUACCGGGUGAUCCGGUGAACCUUUUGGACUCAUCUGAGAAAGAUAAGUAAACCAUAUCACCUAGAGGAAGGAGAAGUCGUAACAAGGUUUCCGUAGGUGAACCUGCRGAAGGAUCA
This 465-nucleotide ribosomal RNA is filed under the name uncultured ciliate. Its description in RNAcentral is "SSU rRNA". It matches the Rfam family "Eukaryotic small subunit ribosomal RNA". The record is from RNAcentral. Lineage: Eukaryota; Ciliophora.